AUUGAACGCUGGCGGCAGGCCUAACACAUGCAAGUCGAACGGUAACAGGAAGAAGCUUGCUUCUUUGCUGACGAGUGGCGGACGGGUGAGUAAUGUCUGGGAAACUGCCUGAUGGAGGGGGAUAACUACUGGAAACGGUAGCUAAUACCGCAUAACGUCGCAAGACCAAAGAGGGGGACCUUCGGGCCUCUUGCCAUCGGAUGUGCCCAGAUGGGAUUAGCUAGUAGGUGGGGUAACGGCUCACCUAGGCGACGAUCCCUAGCUGGUCUGAGAGGAUGACCAGCCACACUGGAACUGAAACACGGUCCAGACUCCUACGGGAGGCAGCAGUGGGGAAUAUUGCACAAUGGGCGCAAGCCUGAUGCAGCCAUGCCGCGUGUAUGAAGAAGGCCUUCGGGUUGUAAAGUACUUUCAGCGGGGAGGAAGGGAGUAAAGUUAAUACCUUUGCUCAUUGACGUUACCCGCAGAAGAAGCACCGGCUAACUCCGUG
RNAcentral lists this ribosomal RNA (490 nucleotides) under uncultured bacterium. RNAcentral describes it as "partial 16S ribosomal RNA". It matches the Rfam family "Bacterial small subunit ribosomal RNA", at positions 30 to 507 of the family's 1533-position model. The record is from RNAcentral.